GGGGAUGUAUUGAUUCGAUGUGAGAGCUCUUUACCAUUUGCAGAUCGUCUUUAGCAGGAAGACGCUAAAAAUAUGCUAAAAAUAUAACUGCAGAAAAUAAAGUUCUCAGUCAAGCAAAGAGUGCUAUCCUCGACGUUUCUAACGCCGUUGCUGACACAUUCAGAGCUCCAAGUUUCGCAACAUUAGCUGCUUAACAAGGUAUCUAAAUAGCCCGCUCUCACUGAUGGUAACUAUUAGGUAACAAAACAGUCGGUGUGACACCUUUAACUCGCAUUUUGGUUAAAGUACAAGACUAAAGAAAUGAAGGAUAAGAUGAGGCUUGUUUUGAUCUCCUCUCUUAUCUCCUUAAGAUCAAGACUAUUUCUGUAGAUAAUGGUAGACGUUCGGCUUACAGACACGGGUUCAUUACCCGUCAUCUCCACCA
RNAcentral lists this transfer-messenger RNA (424 nucleotides) under Minisyncoccota bacterium. It matches the Rfam family "transfer-messenger RNA". Rfam says of the family: Bacterial tmRNA, also known as 10Sa RNA or SsrA, is named for its dual tRNA and mRNA-like properties. Its role is to liberate the mRNA from a stalled ribosome. Lineage: Bacteria; Bacillati; Minisyncoccota. The record is from RNAcentral.